CAAUAGCGUAUAUUAAAGUUGUUGCAGUUAAAAAGCUCGUAGUUGAACUUCAGACUUGGCCGGUGGUCUGCCUAACGGUAUGUACUGCUUGGCUGAGUCUUACCUCUUGGUGAGCCGGCAUGUCCUUCACUGGAUGUGUCGGGGAACCAGGAUCUUUACCUUGAGAAAAUCAGAGUGUUCAAAGCAGGCCUAUGCCCGAAUGCAUUAGCAGGGAAUAAUAAAAUAGGACGUGUGUCUCUAUUUUGUUGGUUUCUAGUGACGCCGUAAUGAUUAAUAGGGACAGUUGGGGGCAUUAGUAUUCGGUUGCUAGAGGUGAAAUUCUUGGAUUUACCGAAGACUAACUACUGCGAAAGCAUUUGCCAAGGAUGUUUUCAUUA
This 377-nucleotide ribosomal RNA is filed under the name uncultured eukaryote. RNAcentral's name for it is "partial 18S ribosomal RNA". It matches the Rfam family "Eukaryotic small subunit ribosomal RNA", at positions 592 to 975 of the family's 1831-position model. The record is from RNAcentral.